CCCACAUUUAGCAUAAAGAUUCAAAAGGGCAUUUGCAGCAUGUACCUCAAUUCACUCUUACAUAAAGAUUCAAAAGAAGAUGACGACUUCAUCUACCUUCAAUUAACCCUCAAUAAAAUUCCACCAGACAACUCACUAUCCCUCACAAAAUCACCCUGUCCCAUUUUCUUCGAUACUUCUUCAACAUUUAUCUCAUCAUUGCUAAUAAACCCAAAAGAUGCCACAACUCAAAAUUUAUUCUUGUGCUAAAACAGACAAUUCCAACAAAUCCCAUAACUCAAAAUUCAACAAUUUCAACAAACUCACAACUCAAAAUUCA
Molecule: long non-coding RNA, 319 nt
Filed under: Capsicum annuum
Lineage: Eukaryota; Viridiplantae; Streptophyta; Magnoliopsida; Solanales; Solanaceae
Description: long non-coding RNA (CANN_LNC017394)
Source: RNAcentral